Cryphonectria parasitica EP155 is the source of this 115-nucleotide non-coding RNA. The record is from the annotation of a RefSeq genome assembly. NCBI's taxonomy places the organism in Eukaryota, Fungi, Ascomycota, Sordariomycetes, Diaporthales, Cryphonectriaceae.
UCUUCCGUAGUAUAGUGGUCAGUAUGCGAGCUUGUCAGGAUUAGGAUUAGGGUUAAACUUGAUUUCUAAAGCCUCACAUUCGCUCGAGACCCGGGUUCAAUUCCCGGCGGGAGAG